This 177-nucleotide unclassified non-coding RNA is filed under the name soil metagenome. RNAcentral's name for it is "partial internal transcribed spacer 1". The record is from RNAcentral.
UCGAGUUAUACAGCUCAUACAACCCUGUGAACAUACCUAAACUGUUGCUUCGGCGGGACAGACGGGUCCCCCCGGGGAAGCCUACCGGCCCCGCCCCCCUACCAGAGGGACGGGCCGCCGGGAUACCAACUCUAUUUUUAACGAAUGUUUCUUCUGAGUGAAACAAGCAAAUAAUUA